This 696-nucleotide long non-coding RNA is filed under the name Salmo salar (Atlantic salmon). RNAcentral's name for it is "lncRNA (ENSSSAG00000113135.1)". Lineage: Eukaryota; Metazoa; Chordata; Actinopteri; Salmoniformes; Salmonidae. The record is from RNAcentral.
CUUUAUGAGGUGCAACCAAAACAGCUGUUUGACAUAGCAACAGGGAUAUUCGGUCAAGGUGUCUCUCUAGCAUUUGUUCUUAAUACCGUUGUGGUUUUGAUCACUAAAAUGGCUGUGACUUUUGGACUCUCGUUGAGGUAAUUCUAAUGGGCAUCAUGCCUACACUGGACCUGAACCAACUGGAUCCUAUGCCAAAGCAAGUGUGGUGCCUAGUCCAAAUGCUAAAGCUACUGGCCACAAUGCCACGUCAGCAGAAGCUACUGGCCACAAUGCCACGUCAGCAGAAGCUACUGGCCACAAUGCCACGUCAGCAGAAGCUACUGGCCACAAUGCCACGUCAGCAGAAGCUACUGGCCACAAUGCCACGUCAGCAGAAGCUACUGGCCACAAUGCCACGUCAGCAGAAGCUACUGGCCACAAUGCCACGUCAGCAGAAGCUACUGGCCACAAUGCCACGUCAGCAGAAUCUACUGGCCACAAUGCCCCGUCAAGUGUGAAGUCCGGCCCCGGCGCCUCAGCAGAAGCGUCCGGCGCCUCAGCAGAAGCGUCCGGCGCCUCAGCAGAGCGCCCGGCGCCUCAGCAGAAGCGUCCGGCGCCUCAGCAGAAGCGUCCGGCGCCUCAGCAGAAGCGUCCGGCGCCUCAGCAGAAGCCUCAGGAGAAGCGUCCGGCGCCUCAGCAGAAGCCUCAGGAGAAGCG